AUGCCAGAGCCACCUGAGCCUGGCUGGAGUGAGGAUCGGAUGAAACAGGGCUUGGGUGAGGCGUUAACAGUGGGUGGGCACGGCUCUGACUCGAGGGGAGUGGUCAGCACGCAGGGGCGUGGCUCGGGCUCGCGGAGUCGUCCGAGAUUCAGGGCAGCUCCCGGGCAGAAGUGUCCGGAUCUAACCGUCCCUGGGGAGUCGGAGACCCGUGGCCGCCGCCGGACCCACAGGCCAUGUGGCCUCCGCUGUUGCUGCUGCUGCUACUGCUCCCUUCCGCCCCGGUCCCCACCCUCAAGGCCGCUCCGCUCCUGGAUGCUAACACCCAGGAAGGCUUUCAGAACCUGCUCCAAGGAGUCCAGGCUGGCGGAGACAGAGAGCUGCGGGCAGUCUCAUACCUGGCCCCGGGCUCUGCCUGUAGUAAUGGAGCUGUGGUGGCCGUGCGACCCCCAAGCCAGGGAGGAAGACCUGCGGCUCCGUGAGAGGCGUCCAGGGCUGCAGGCCAAGGCGACAGGCUCCGGGGGACAUGGGGCUUCCCCUGUUCACUUCCAAGGAGGGUGGGCAUCAAUGCAUUGGCAGGGGAUGGCCCUGUGCCCUGCCAGGGUCUCCACCCCCAGCACCAUUUAUUAGAAAUAAUAAAGUUCUUUCUUAGCUA
Molecule: non-coding RNA, 652 nt
Organism: Callithrix jacchus (white-tufted-ear marmoset)
Lineage: Eukaryota; Metazoa; Chordata; Mammalia; Primates; Cebidae
Source: RefSeq, a predicted model, not a curated record